Pan troglodytes (chimpanzee) is the source of this 190-nucleotide long non-coding RNA. RefSeq lists it as uncharacterized. Lineage: Eukaryota; Metazoa; Chordata; Mammalia; Primates; Hominidae. The record is from RefSeq and is a predicted model, not a curated record. The transcript is spliced from 2 exons.
GCUCACCUUAAGGACGCAGAGUGGCGUCAGAUUUGGAGAAGCGCCGGGGACCGUGGAGGAAGUCAUCGGCCUGGAUUUCUUUGGAUUUGCAGAUAGGGUUCCAGCAUAACUGGAAGGUGAAUUGCUGUGUUGUGGACAUUCCUCAAGAUCAAAUGUACAUAAAACCUGUCUGUAUCUACGUCUCUCCUUA